This 254-nucleotide long non-coding RNA is filed under the name Homo sapiens (human). RNAcentral describes it as "non-protein coding lnc-COX7B-3:1". The record is from RNAcentral. Lineage: Eukaryota; Metazoa; Chordata; Mammalia; Primates; Hominidae.
GCUAGGCGUGGUGGCGCGCGCCUGUAAUCCCAGCUUCUUGGGAGGCUGAGGCAGGAUAAUGGCGUGAACCCGGGAGUCAGAGCUUGCAGUGAGCUGAGAUCACGCCACUGCACUCCAGCCUGGGCGACAGAGCGAGACUCUGUCUCAAAAAAAAAAAAGAGAGACAGGGUGUCACUUUGUCACCCAGAUUGGAGUGCAGUGACGUGAUCAUAGCUCACUGCAGCCUCAAAAUCCUGGGCUUAAGUGAUCCUCCC